UGCAUUUUUCCCCAAUAUGUCAUAGUUUGACGUCGCGAAAAUAACAUGUUAUGUUAGCAACGUCAUUACCUCCCCUGUAACUGUAUAGUAUGCCCUUAAGAGGUACACAAAGAAUUGUCCAUGCUUCAAGAAUAGGUUUUGUUAUAAAUAUAUUGUAAAAAUGUUUGCUGCUCACUACUUCUACAAAUUAUUUUUUACAUUUUGGACAAAGCCACUUUCCCCUUGGUUUCCUUACAAUAUUAACACAUUGAUAAUUGUACCAUCCAAUAUCACACGAGUCUCCAUCACAGAAAAUCAUCUUGCCAUAUUCUGGUUCUUCACACAAGCAAUAUUUCUCUUUUGUGACAUCAUUGACUGAAGUGUUUGCUACUUUAUAAUCAUGUAACAAUUUCCUUGUAAGUAGCUCUGGGAUUAAUAGCUCUUUAACAAAGUAAGUGCACUUACUUAUUAAAGUAUUACAAAACUCAGGAUCCCUGCAAAUUCUAACAAUAGCAAGCAAGAUAACAUCAUUUGGACUUGUCAUAACAACAAAAUCACAAUAGUCAGUGUCAUAGACAAACAUUUGAAA
Molecule: long non-coding RNA, 568 nt
Filed under: Mytilus galloprovincialis (Mediterranean mussel)
Lineage: Eukaryota; Metazoa; Mollusca; Bivalvia; Mytilida; Mytilidae
Source: RNAcentral